UAGUCAUUGCAAAUUUAAUUAAAAUCGUAAUCUAGUUCAUUAAGAACUUUACUUAAGCUUUUGGUGCAUUGGGCCCAUGUUGGCAAAUUUUAUGUUAGGCCCAAACUUUGAGGGACAUGUGGCACUUAACCUAGGGUUUCUUAGAGGUGGACCCCACCAUUUUUGAGUGUUUUGGACAGCAUUUUGAGCCAAUUGCUGAGACACUCCAAGCACACACUUGACACUACACUUUCAUUUUAGCUUUGCGUUGUAUGAACUCUCUCUUGGAGCCUUGGUGUGCUAUUUUCGUUUCUUCAACCAUGAAUGAACAAGAUCAUGUUUUGCUUCUUCUAUUUUUUGCAACAAUGCUUGUUCUUGCUUGAUGGAAUGAAGCUCUACCAUUUCUCUCUUUAGAUUUUCGUUUUGAAGGAUGAAUGCUUGAGUUUGAAGCUUCUUCUUUGCUUUUUCAUGGUGGUUUCUUUGGUGGAAGGGAUACCCAUUGUCCAUUUUGGUUUCCUCCUCAUUUUGCUGCGGUAAUCUCGUUUUUAUUUUGUGUUUCUUGGAUUGGAGGAUGAAAAUGGAGUUGUUGUCAAGUUUGGUAGUGAAAAAGGCUUAAGUUGGUGCAUGAGUAUUGUAUUCUUGAGCCAUUUUCUUCUAGCAUUUUGUUCUUGAUGUUUGGAAGCCUAUUUUGAGCUGGACUUUGUGAUUGAUGAUGGUGGCUGGACGGUAAUGCAAGGGAAGCUAGAGGUUUGGUUUUGCUUUGGUCAAAAAGUUGAAGAAAAGUAAGUGGUGAAGUUGGAUUUAUGAAGGUAGAACUUGGUUUUGUUAUGCUUGUGUUAAUUUGGAAUUGAAACUUGGGUUUCUUUGUCUGUGUUCUCGGUAUGGAGAGGGGAAGGAACAAUUUGAAUGUUUGCUUGUUGAAGAAAAACGAAAAUGGAGUGGAGAAGGAAGAGAGAAGGUGCAAUUAAUUUUUUACCCGAUUUGGCCAAACACAUGAGAUGCUACUUUUGACUAAGGGAAUGUUUCCUAUUUAAGUUUUGUCUUGCUAUCACUUGAAAUUGCCGUGAGUGGCUUUGGAGAUGGGAGGUUAUUGNGAUUGUUUUUCUUUGCUUUGACUUUGCACACUUGGCACCUUGGGAGAAGCAUUCAAGAAAUUCCAUUUUGUUGGUCUUUGGGGCAUUUUUCACGUUACCUUGCAUUGGUUNNN
RNAcentral lists this long non-coding RNA (1186 nucleotides) under Vigna radiata. Its description in RNAcentral is "long non-coding RNA (VRAD_LNC014557)". The record is from RNAcentral. Lineage: Eukaryota; Viridiplantae; Streptophyta; Magnoliopsida; Fabales; Fabaceae.